Molecule: ribosomal RNA, 675 nt
Filed under: uncultured bacterium
Lineage: Bacteria
Description: bacterial SSU rRNA
Rfam family: Bacterial small subunit ribosomal RNA
Source: RNAcentral
UUGGUGGGGUAAUGGCCUACCAAGGCUUUGACGGGUAGCCGGCCUGAGAGGGUGACCGGCCACACUGGGACUGAGACACGGCCCAGACUCCUACGGGAGGCAGCAGUGGGGAAUAUUGGACAAUGGGCGGAAGCCUGAUCCAGCAACUCCGCGUGAAGGAUGACGGCCUUCGGGUUGUAAACCUCUUUCAGCACAGACAAAGUUGUCCUCACGUGUGGGGGUGGUGACGGUAUGUGCAGAAGAAGCACCGGCCAACUACGUGCCAGCAGCCGCGGUAAUACGUAGGGUGCGAGCGUUGUCCGGAAUUAUUGGGCGUAAAGGGCUCGUAGGCGGUUUGUCGCGUCGGGAGUGAAAUCCACUGGCUUAACUGGUGGCUUGCUUUCGAUACGGGCAGACUGGAGGUAUGCAGGGGAGAACGGAAUUCCUGGUGUAGCGGUGAAAUGCGCAGAUAUCAGGAGGAACACCGGUGGCGAAGGCGGUUCUCAGGGCAUGUACUGACGCUGAGGAGCGAAAGCGUGGGGAGCGAACAGGAUUAGAUACCCUGGUAGUCCACGCCGUAAACGGUGGGUACUAGGUGUGGGUUUCCUUCCUUGGGAUCCGUGCCGUAGCUAACGCAUUAAGUACCCCGCCUGGGGAGUACGGCGCGGCCUAUCAGCUUGUUGGUGGGGUGAUGGC